This 455-nucleotide ribosomal RNA is filed under the name Hyalosagda arboreoides. RNAcentral's name for it is "partial 16S ribosomal RNA". The record is from RNAcentral. Lineage: Eukaryota; Metazoa; Mollusca; Gastropoda; Stylommatophora; Sagdidae.
AGCUUAAUGAUAUUUUAUAUUAAGUGAGUUCUGCUCAAUGAUUUUAUAUUAAAUAGCCGCAGUACUUUGACUGUGCGAAGGUAGCAUAAUAAGUUGGCUUAUAAUUGAAGUCGGGAAUGAAUGAAUUAAUGGAUAUAAACUGUCUUAAGUAAAUAUUAAUUAAUUUUCUAAGUAAGUGAAAAUUCUUACGGGGUGUUUUAUUAGACGAGAAGACCCUUGAAAUUUUAAUAAUAUAAUAUGAUUAAUAUUAAUAAUUUUUAUUGGGGCGGUAAAUUUACAAAUAUAACUAAAUUUUUAAAUAUAAUAUAUAUUACGAAUUUUAUUAAUAAAAAGUAAAUUACUCAAGGGAUAACAGCAUAAUUUAUAAAUAAGUUUGUGACCUCGAUGUUGGACUAGGGGAACUUAAGCUUAGAAGGCUUAAAGUUAGGUUCUGUUCGAACUUUUUUUCCUACAUG